GGCUUGUUGAAUAUGAUUUCAGGUCUGACCUGCCCAAUGAUUUUAUUUUUAAUGGCUGCGGUAUUUUAACCGUACAAAGGUAGCAUAAUCAUUAGUUUUUUAAUUAAAAGCUUGUAUGAAAGGUUUGAUGAAAAAAUUUCUGUCUCUAUCUAAAUUUAGUAGAAUUUUAUUUUUGAGUGAAAAAGCUUAGAUUGAUAUGAAAGACGAGAAGACCCUAUAGAGUUUUAUAGGUUAAGGAAUGGGGAAUUUCUGUAGAAGUUAGAUUAAUUUAUUCUUUAGCUUAUUUAGUUGGGGUGAUUAAAAAAUUUGUUUAACUUUUUUUUUGAAAAGACAUUGAUGUAUGAGUUAUUGAUCCUUGAGUUUAGAUAAAAAGAAUAAAUUACCUUAGGGAUAACAGCGUAAUUUUUUCUAGAGUUCUUAUCGAAUAAAAAGAUUGCGACCUCGAUGUUGGAUUAAAAUAAAUUUUUGGUGGAGAAGCUAAAAAAGUUAGGUCUGUUCGACCUUUAAAAUUUUACAUGAUCUGAGUUUAAACCGGUGUAAG
This 541-nucleotide ribosomal RNA is filed under the name Trigonopterus sp. 809 AR-2022a. RNAcentral describes it as "partial large subunit ribosomal RNA". It matches the Rfam family "Bacterial large subunit ribosomal RNA", at positions 1819 to 2625 of the family's 2925-position model. Lineage: Eukaryota; Metazoa; Arthropoda; Insecta; Coleoptera; Curculionidae. The record is from RNAcentral.